AGUGAACGCUGGCGGUAGGCCUAACACAUGCAAGUCGAACGGCAGCACAGUAAGAGCUUGCUCUUACGGGUGGCGAGUGGCGGACGGGUGAGGAAUACAUCGGAAUCUACUUUGUCGGGGGGGAUAACGUAGGGAAACUUACGCUAAUACCGCAUACGACCUACGGGUGAAAGCAGGGGAUCUUCGGACUUUGCGCGAUUGAAUGAGCCGAUGUCGGAUUAGCUAGUUGGCGGGGUAAAGGCCCACCAAGGCGACGAUCCGUAGCUGGUCUGAGAGGAUGAUCAGCCACACUGGAACUGAGACACGGUCCAGACUCCUACGGGAGGCAGCAGUGGGGAAUAUUGGACAAAGGGCGCAAGCCUGAUCCAGCCAUACCGCGUGGGUGAAGAAGGCCUUCGGGUUGUAAAGCCCUUUUGUUGGGAAAGAAAAGCAGCAGGUUAAUACGCCGCUGUUCUGACGGUACCCAAAGAAUAAGCACCGGCUAACUUCGUG
Molecule: ribosomal RNA, 492 nt
Filed under: uncultured bacterium
Lineage: Bacteria
Description: partial 16S ribosomal RNA
Rfam family: Bacterial small subunit ribosomal RNA
Source: RNAcentral